Molecule: ribosomal RNA, 977 nt
Filed under: Bifidobacterium sp. Amshor11
Lineage: Bacteria; Bacillati; Actinomycetota; Actinomycetes; Bifidobacteriales; Bifidobacteriaceae
Description: bacterial SSU rRNA
Rfam family: Bacterial small subunit ribosomal RNA
Source: RNAcentral
UACACAUGCAAGUCGAACGGGAUCCGCCAAGCUUGCUUGGUGGUGAGAGUGGCGAACGGGUGAGUAAUGCGUGACCAACCUGCCCCAUGCUUCGGAAUAGCUCCUGGAAACGGGUGGUAAUGCCGGAUGCUCCGCACUGUCGCAUGAUGGUGUGGGAAAGGGUUUACCGGCAUGGGAUGGGGUCGCGUCCUAUCAGCUUGUUGGCGGGGUGAUGGCCUGCCAAGGCUUCGACGGGUAGCCGGCCUGAGAGGGCGACCGGCCACAUUGGGACUGAGAUACGGCCCAGACUCCUACGGGAGGCAGCAGUGGGGAAUAUUGCACAAUGGGCGCAAGCCUGAUGCAGCGACGCCGCGUGCGGGAUGACGGCCUUCGGGUUGUAAACCGCUUUUGAUUGGGAGCAAGCGAGAGUGAGUGUACCUUUCGAAUAAGCACCGGCUAACUACGUGCCAGCAGCCGCGGUAAUACGUAGGGUGCAAGCGUUAUCCGGAUUUAUUGGGCGUAAAGAGCUCGUAGGCGGUUCGUCGCGUCUGGUGUGAAAGUCCAUCGCUUAACGGUGGAUCGGCGCCGGGUACGGGCGGACUGGAGUGCGGUAGGGGAGACUGGAAUUCCCGGUGUAACGGUGGAAUGUGUAGAUAUCGGGAAGAACACCGAUGGCGAAGGCAGGUCUCUGGGCCGUCACUGACGCUGAGGAGCGAAAGCGUGGGGAGCGAACAGGAUUAGAUACCCUGGUAGUCCACGCCGUAAACGGUGGAUGCUGGAUGUGGGGCCCGUUCCACGGGUUCCGUGUCGGAGCUAACGCGUUAAGCAUCCCGCCUGGGGAGUACGGCCGCAAGGCUAAAACUCAAAGAAAUUGACGGGGGCCCGCACAAGCGGCGGAGCAUGCGGAUUAAUUCGAUGCAACGCGAAGAACCUUACCUGGGCUUGACAUGUGCCGGACGGCCGCGGAGACGCGGCUUCCCUUCGGGGCCGGUUCACAG